Molecule: ribosomal RNA, 490 nt
Filed under: Clostridioides difficile
Lineage: Bacteria; Bacillati; Bacillota; Clostridia; Peptostreptococcales; Peptostreptococcaceae
Description: bacterial SSU rRNA
Rfam family: Bacterial small subunit ribosomal RNA
Source: RNAcentral
CGAUCAGUAGCCGACCUGAGAGGGUGAUCGGCCACAUUGGAACUGAGACACGGUCCAAACUCCUACGGGAGGCAGCAGUGGGGAAUAUUGCACAAUGGGCGAAAGCCUGAUGCAGCAACGCCGCGUGAGUGAUGAAGGCCUUCGGGUCGUAAAACUCUGUCCUCAAGGAAGAUAAUGACGGUACUUGAGGAGGAAGCCCCGGCUAACUACGUGCCAGCAGCCGCGGUAAUACGUAGGGGGCUAGCGUUAUCCGGAUUUACUGGGCGUAAAGGGUGCGUAGGCGGUCUUUCAAGUCAGGAGUGAAAGGCUACGGCUCAACCGUAGUAAGCUCUUGAAACUGGGAGACUUGAGUGCAGGAGAGGAGAGUGGAAUUCCUAGUGUAGCGGUGAAAUGCGUAGAUAUUAGGAGGAACACCAGUUGCGAAGGCGGCUCUCUGGACUGUAACUGACGCUGAGGCACGAAAGCGUGGGGAGCAAACAGGAUUAGAUAC